ACGGAUAAUUCGUCAAUACAAAUCAGAAAAUAGCCUUUGGCCGCAUGGAAUAGCUUUAUGGAAAUAACAGUUUUCAACUAAGGAAUUUAAAAAGCAAUUUCAUGAACAGAUCCGCUCAGAAACAAGCACAGCCGACCGUCCGUCAAACAGCACAGCAACAAUGGGGCGCCUUGGAAUAUUAAAGUAAUUUAAUUAAUUACUCCGAUCAAAAAAGGGAAAUGAAAGAAAUGCAAGAAAAACACCUCAAUGAUUAACAAAGCGUAGAAAGGAAUAAUUUGGAAAAACAAACAAUCCGAGUUUCAUACAACACUGGUUUUCCCAAUACAGACGAAGUAAACACACGAGAUUCAAAAACGA
This is a non-coding RNA of Schizosaccharomyces pombe (fission yeast), 357 nucleotides long. The record is from the annotation of a GenBank genome assembly. Lineage: Eukaryota; Fungi; Ascomycota; Schizosaccharomycetes; Schizosaccharomycetales; Schizosaccharomycetaceae.